UACGGAGGAGGCAAGCGUUAUCCGGAAUUAUUGGGCGUAAAGCGUCCGCAGGUGGCUAUUCAAGUCUGCGGUCAAAGACUGGGGCUUAACCCUGGAAAGGCCGUGGAAACUGAAGAACUAGAGUGCAGUAGGGGUAGAGGGAAUUCCCGGUGUAGCGGUGAAAUGCGUAGAGCUCGGGAAGAACAUCGGUGGCGAAAGCGCUCUGCUGGACUGCAACUGACACUCAGGGACGAAAGCUAGGGGAGCGAAUGGG
This 253-nucleotide ribosomal RNA is filed under the name uncultured bacterium. RNAcentral describes it as "partial 16S ribosomal RNA". It matches the Rfam family "Bacterial small subunit ribosomal RNA", at positions 524 to 776 of the family's 1533-position model. The record is from RNAcentral.